RNAcentral lists this long non-coding RNA (449 nucleotides) under Setaria viridis. RNAcentral describes it as "long non-coding RNA (SVIR_LNC005367)". The record is from RNAcentral. Lineage: Eukaryota; Viridiplantae; Streptophyta; Magnoliopsida; Poales; Poaceae.
AUAGAUUGAUGUGAGUAUAUGACAGAUCAUUCGCUAUAUAUAAUGUUGUGACGCCACUAAUAAUUUUAUGUGUCAUUUCAGUAUCCACUCGUGUACCCAAGUUGUUGGAUGCUACUAUUGCAUGUGGUUUAGUACUUGUUUAAAUUAACUACUUAUUUACAAGCUGACUGGGACCAUGAUCUGUACGUCUCUAGGGAGCUGAGGUCCGGUACAAUGGUAUUAGUAAUGAACUCAAGCUUGUUUCCUCAUUUCCGAGUACUUAUUAGGUCAGUCUGGAGUUUUAUAGAAGUUUAUUAGCAUUAAAUUUUGUACGCAUUCAUCAAAAUUGUUGCUUUGGCAAAAUCAUCAUGAGAAGAGAUGAGUGAGAAGUUUCAUCCCUACGAUAUCCAUCAGUCUCAGUUAGCAUGUUCUCGAUCUUGGUAACGGUACAAUUAAACUAAACUUUGCAG